CUGUCUCUUGCUUCAACUGUGUUUGGACGGAACAG
Myotis lucifugus (little brown bat) is the source of this 35-nucleotide non-coding RNA. The record is from Rfam. NCBI's taxonomy places the organism in Eukaryota, Metazoa, Chordata, Mammalia, Chiroptera, Vespertilionidae.